GACGAACGCUGGCGGCGUGCUUAACACAUGCAAGUCGAACGGAAAGGCGCUGCUUUUGUGGGGUGCUCGAGUGGCGAACGCGUGAGUAACACGCGAGUAUCCUGCCCUUGACUGUGGGAUAACUUCAGGGAACUGGGGCUAAUACCGGAUAGGAUCUCCUGCAGCAUGGGGUGGGUUGGAAAGUUUCGGUGGUUGGGGAUCGACUCGCGGCUUAUCAGCUGGUUUGUGUGGUAGUGGCGGACCAAGGGUUUGACGGAUAGCCCGCCUGAGAGGGUGGCCGGGGACAAUGGGACUACGAGACGGACCAGACGCGUACGGGAGGCAGCAGUGGAGAGUAUGGCACAAUGGGCCGGAGCCAGAUAUAACGACGCCGCGAGCGUGAUGCCGGCCUUCGGGUUGUGAACCGCUUUCGACUGUAACGAAGCCUGAGUGACGGUACUGGGUAAAGAAGCACCGGCUAACUACGUG
This 468-nucleotide ribosomal RNA is filed under the name uncultured bacterium. RNAcentral describes it as "partial 16S ribosomal RNA". It matches the Rfam family "Bacterial small subunit ribosomal RNA", at positions 28 to 507 of the family's 1533-position model. The record is from RNAcentral.